Molecule: ribosomal RNA, 253 nt
Filed under: uncultured bacterium
Lineage: Bacteria
Description: partial 16S ribosomal RNA
Rfam family: Bacterial small subunit ribosomal RNA
Source: RNAcentral
UACGUAGGGGGCAAGCGUUGUCCGGAAUUAUUGGGCGUAAAGAGCGUGUAGGCGGCCAGAUAAGUCCGCUGUGAAAUCUCGAGGCUCAACUUCGAGCUGUCGGUGGAAACUAUCUGGCUAGAGUCCGGAAGAGGAGAAUGGAAUUCCCGGUGUAGUGGUGAAAUGCGUAGAUAUCGGGAGGAACACCAGUGGCGAAGGCGGCUACCUGGCCCACUCUUGACGCUGAGGCGCGAAAGCUAGGGGAGCAAACGGG